RNAcentral lists this ribosomal RNA (407 nucleotides) under uncultured bacterium. RNAcentral describes it as "partial 16S ribosomal RNA". It matches the Rfam family "Bacterial small subunit ribosomal RNA", at positions 30 to 526 of the family's 1533-position model. The record is from RNAcentral.
AUUGAACGCUGGCGGCAGGCCUAACACAUGCAAGUCGAACGGAGUGGCGGACGGGUGAGUAAUGUCUGGGAAACUGCCCGAUGGAGGGGGAUAACGUCCGGAAACGGGCGCUAAUACCGCAUACUAUCAGAUGAGCCUAGGUGGGAUUAGCUAGUUGGUGGGGUAAAGGCCUACCAAGGCGACGAUCCCUAGCUGGUCUGAGAGGAUGACCAGUCACACUGGAACUGAGACACGGUCCAGACUCCUACGGGAGGCAGCAGUGGGGAAUAUUGGACAAUGGGCGAAAGCCUGAUGCAGCCAUGCCGCGUGUGUGAAGAAGGUCUUCGGAUUGUAAAGCACUUUCAGUUGGGAGGCGUUACCAACAGAAUAAGCACCGGCUAACUUCGUGCCAGCAGCCGCGGUAAUUC